GUCUUCGGCCAUGCCACGCUGAACAUGCUCAAUCUCGUCUGAUCUCAGAAGCUAAGCAGGGUCAGGCCUGGUUAGUGCUUGGAUGGGAGACCACCUAGGAAGACCAGAUACUGUAGGUA
RNAcentral lists this ribosomal RNA (119 nucleotides) under Pteropus vampyrus (large flying fox). Lineage: Eukaryota; Metazoa; Chordata; Mammalia; Chiroptera; Pteropodidae. The record is from RNAcentral.